This is a long non-coding RNA of Syngnathus typhle (broad-nosed pipefish), 615 nucleotides long. RefSeq lists it as uncharacterized. Lineage: Eukaryota; Metazoa; Chordata; Actinopteri; Syngnathiformes; Syngnathidae. The transcript has 2 exons. The record is from RefSeq and is a predicted model, not a curated record.
GGGGAGCUUCAGCCUAUUAUUCUCCUCGACAACUUCCUGGUGAUUGAGCUUGCGUGCUUCAUUCUGUGGAGGAGGAUGCAAAACACCUUUCAGUGCCAAAGCAAACAUGCUUCUCCAAGAUGAGGAGCUACUCCUGAAGCGUCGCCACGCUGACUACAGGCUCUUGUCACUGGAGUGGAACCAAAAGCUGGAGCAAGUGUGCAUUUAUGUGAAUGUGUCAACGGGAGUGCGGGAGUCCGAUGGGCCUGGCCUGGCCCGGCUCGGGCUGGGCUGAGGCACAGCAGACAUGAAUGGAACAUAAAGAUGGCGUCUUGUUUUCCAUCUCACCCGAAUGUUCCCCACUAGUGCCACCGUGAUCAAGACCAGGGACAACUUGAGUUGUUUCAUCUUUCUCCUUGCCCCCCUCCAUCUUCCAAACUGUGGGACUGAUUUUUUUUUUUUUUUUUUUUUUCUACACUCACUGACAAUCUUAGCUUGAACCACACUACAAGACAGAGCUGUGCUGCUCUAAUUUCCAAGGAAGAAUUAUAAGUACAAUUCGGUAUAUGUCUUUUUGAUAACAACACAUACAGCUGCAAAAAAAAAAAAUCCACAUUGAAAUGGCAAACUGAGCAG